Non-coding RNA from Cicer arietinum (chickpea), 145 nucleotides. NCBI's taxonomy places the organism in Eukaryota, Viridiplantae, Streptophyta, Magnoliopsida, Fabales, Fabaceae. The record is from Rfam.
AAAGCAGGGAUAGUGUGUAUCAGUGUUGUGCUAUUAUCAAUGCACUUUUCUGAAAGUGUUCCCUUGCAAUAUUAAUUUGAGAAAAUGGGCAGUUGUGUUUCAUCUUAUAUUGUUGAAAAUCACAACAAUCAUUUUCUCUACAUUU